AAAUGACGGUACCUGACUAAGAAGCCCCGGCUAACUACGUGCCAGCAGCCGCGGUAAUACGUAGGGGGCAAGCGUUAUCCGGAUUUACUGGGUGUAAAGGGAGCGUAGACGGUAAAGCAAGUCUGAAGUGAAAGCCCGGGGCUCAACCCCGGGACUGCUUUGGAAACUGUUUAACUAGAGUGCUGGAGAGGUAAGCGGAAUUCCUAGUGUAGCGGUGAAAUGCGUAGAUAUUAGGAGGAACACCAGUGGCGAAGGCGGCUUGCUGGACAGUAACUGACGUUGAGGCUCGAAAGCGUGGGGAGCAGACAGGAUUAGAUACCCUGGUAGUCCACGCCGUAAACGAUGCAUACUAGGUGUCGGGGAGCAAAGCUUUCCGGUGCCGCCGCAAACGCAGUAAGUAUGCCACCUGGGGAGUACGUUCGCAAGAUGAAACUCAAA
This 438-nucleotide ribosomal RNA is filed under the name uncultured bacterium. RNAcentral describes it as "bacterial SSU rRNA". It matches the Rfam family "Bacterial small subunit ribosomal RNA", at positions 467 to 905 of the family's 1533-position model. The record is from RNAcentral.